RNAcentral lists this non-coding RNA (922 nucleotides) under Sphaenorhynchus lacteus (Orinoco lime treefrog). Its description in RNAcentral is "partial 12S ribosomal RNA". It matches the Rfam family "Bacterial small subunit ribosomal RNA". Lineage: Eukaryota; Metazoa; Chordata; Amphibia; Anura; Hylidae. The record is from RNAcentral.
UGGUCCUAGCCUUGAAAUCAGUUUUUACUUAUUAUACACAUGCAAGUCUCCGCCCCCCUGUGAAAACGCCCUUAAACUCCUAUUAGGAAUAAGGAGCUGAUAUCAGGCUCAAUUCUUAGCCCAAAACAUCUAGCUAUGCCACACCCACAAGGGAAUUCAGCAGUGAUUAACAUUGGAUAUAAGCGACAGCUUGAUCCAGCUAAAGUAAAAAGAGCCGGCAAAUCUGGUGCCAGCCGCCGCGGUUACACCAUGUGGCUCAAAUUGACAUCUUUCGGCGUAAAGCGUGAUUUAAGAGACUAAAAAAUAUAGUUAAACUAGAAUUAAGCUGUGACACGCCUGUUUCUAAGAAAAACAACAACGAAAGUCACUAUAGAUUUAUCAACUUGAAUUCACAACAACUAGGACACAAACUGGGAUUAGAUACCCCACUAUGCCUAGUCGUAAACCUUAACUUACACUAAAAUCGCCCGGGAACUACGAGCAAAGCUUAAAACCCAAAGGACUUGACGGUACCCCAAAUCCACCUAGAGGAGCCUGUCCUAUAAUCGAUAACCCCCGUUUAACCUCACCAUUUUUAGCCUUUCAGCCUGUAUACCUCCGUCGUCAGCUUACCUCGUGAGUGAGUUAUAGUGAGCUUAAUGUCUUUACAUCAACACGUCAGGUCAAGGUGCAGCAUAUAAAAUGGAAAGAGAUGGGCUACACUCUCUAACAUAGAAAAUACGAAAAACUAACAUGAAAUUUAGUUAGAAGGAGGAUUUAGAAGUAAAAAGAAAAAAUGAGUGUUCUUUUUAACCCGGCACUGGGGUGUGUACACACCGCCCGUCACCCUCCUCAAAGCAUAAAGACAGUAAUUAACACACUAAUGCAAUACAGAAGAGGCAAGUCGUAACAUGGUAAGCAUACCGGAAGGUGUGCUUGGAAA